AUUGCAUCUUGAGUUCUGUAUCACAGAGAAGAAAGCACAAUUCUUAGUAGCUCUCAAGGUUAUGGAGACAACACAUUCUAUACAAUGGGAAAACUGCUCUGUCCCAUCCAUGCGGUGAAUGAGGACUAGGUCAGGAAGGUGUUCUGCAAGCAUUGGAAUAAAUAACAGAAGCUCAAACCAGAGUCUUGGAAUUCGCCGUAGAAUGAAAUGUGAAGUCUCACCUGCCCGGAUCAAAAACGGAGAAUGUUUCUUCACAUAUGAGUCACUACCCCUAGCAAAAGUCGGCAAAGUCUGGAAGACAGUUUCACCCUCCCGAGUAACUCUUCAAAUCCCAAGAAGGUCAGCAAGCCAAAGAGCAUUCAUCGGUACAUCUGGAAGGGAACAGGAACCUCCACCCACUAGUGUUUGACAGCCAUGAAUGAAAUAAUGGGCAAUAAGACAAAGGAGAAACUUGCGCGGUCAUCCUCGUUACAAACCCGUGAAAUCUGAUAACAUGAUAGAUUUUAUAACCCUGACAAGCAAAGAACUUGAGAAGUCAGUAGAAGGAAGGCAAAUGGGAACAAGGAUUUACUCCCUCCUCCACUUGGAGCAUCCUGUAAAUAUUUUGGUGUAAUUUUCAUACAGUGUUUAGUUUCUUUCUAUACCCAGAGGGCAAGAAGAUAUUUGGCAAUAUUAGAUCUUGUUCAUAGCAAAUAUCAAAACCUCAGUAAUUGAUUUAGAAUCUAAUGACAUAUAGAGAAAAGGCUUUUAUUUCCUCUUGAUAAUUCUUCUCAAUAAAAAUAAAUUGACUCAUCUAUCUACCUGUCUGCAUUGUUUAGCACUUUAUUGCCACAUUUUUAUUAAGAUUUGUUCCAACCAACCAACAUUUUUUUCAGUUGGUUUUAGGUUUUCUGGCAGUGGGAGAUAGCUUUCUUUACUUUUUUUUCCAGUUUUAUUUUCUAAGACAUUGCAUAGUUCCAAGUCAAAUUAAAAAAUAAACAUAUUUAGAGAAUUCUAGCUGCCAUCCCUGCCUCUUACUCCCUGUUUUCUUCCUCCCCACAUAGGUGAAUAUUUUUAUUAGCUUUUGGAUUGACUGUCUAUUGUUUCUUUCUGACAAUAUAAGCAAAGUAUACACAUGCAAAUAUAUAUACACACAGAUACACAUAAAUUGAUUAUAUCAUAAAUGCUAUUCUGAACUCUGCUUUUUCUCACUAACAAUGCAUCUUUCAAUUCCACAUGGCAGUAUAUAAAGAUAUCCUUUAUUCCAUUUUAUAACUGUUUAGUACACCACUGUGUGGAUGCAUCAUAAUUUAUUCAGCCAUUCUCGUAAUAUAGAUAUUUGGGUUGUUUCUUGUAUUUUGCCAUUAUAAUUUAUACUGCAAAGAAUAGCCUGUGCAUGUUAUAUUUUUCAUUAAUUUUCUGCCAGUUCUGACUUCUUUUAAAGAGAUAAACACCAAUUCACAUGAAAACCAUGUGCAAUUCAUCUAUCAGAAUGACCUCCACAAACCUAAUGGAAACAUUUCAGGAUUGGAGGCAGGAAUUUCGUGUGAAGCCACAGAAGGCCCGUCCCACAUGAGAAAAGUGCAAACAAUGAACCAAGUGUAGAAAAGUAACCAAACUCUGCUUGGUUUUCCUCGCUGGAUAAUAAACCCUGUGAAAAAUGCAUCAUUGAUAGCAAGCGGAACACUCUGAAGAUCAAAUAAGCAGUAAAAAUAAGUAUGCCAACACAGAUGCUGAAAAGCUGUAUUGUAAUAUGAGUUUUUUUAAUUCACCUCACAGCAACAAUUGGGAAGUCAAACUGUGGUUCUCUGAUGUAAUGAAAACUAGAUCGAGAGUAUGGAUUUAGGGAAGAGUGGUGAUUUUCAGGACAGACUUUUAGUAGACCCAUUUCAUCAUCAUGUUUCAUUUUUACUCAGUACCACACAAAAUAGUCUUUCAAAGAAAAUAACAUGAACCUAGAUGGUGCUACUGGCUCUGUGUUUGGAACUCUCUAAAGCUUUUGCUUUAAUUUCAGG
Macaca mulatta (Rhesus monkey) is the source of this 1994-nucleotide long non-coding RNA. NCBI's taxonomy places the organism in Eukaryota, Metazoa, Chordata, Mammalia, Primates, Cercopithecidae. The record is from Ensembl.